UUGGAUUUGUAAGUUCAUAAAAUAAAAUGUUAACAGCAACUUGGUUUUGGCAAUUGGCGGAGAUCCGACCGUUGGAUCAUUCUGAAACUUUAGUAUGUUAUUCUAGAAACAUAAUGUGGAUCUUUGCAGGUUACGAAUCGGAAAUCUGAUAUGCAGAUCUUCCAGAUCGAAUUAAGUAAGGAUGUGUUUUAUGUAAGUUACAUAUUCUAUCGAUAAGAUUUCUAAGACAUGAUUUGAUAAUUGUUUUAGGCGCCAAUCGUUCGUGACACCUCGAUGUGUGUGCUAGGGAGUGUAGCACGCAAUCAAGGUGAGUGGGCUUUUGGUUUUUAAUAUAUGUAUAUAUACAUUAUGUUUUUCCCAGAAAUAUUGAUUUAAAUGAUUUUGCGUUUUAGAUGCCAUGUCAAAUGCUUUAUAUUUUAGAAUAUGCAUUACUAGUUAUGUAUGUUAGUAUUUGACACUGUGGACGCUCAGAUAAGUUCCAGGUGAGUAUAUGUAUUGAUGAUUGUGUUGCAUUGUAAUGGUUAUGCUUAGAGGCAUUUAGAGCUCAUAAACCUGCACCCCGGUGUUAGUGCUCCUGCCCAUGGUCAGGGCACAGUCCUUCACGUGAUGUUCACCUCUCGCACCGCACGCUCACCUUGGAUCCAAGUUUGGUGCACAACCCUAUCGUACAAACCACAAUAGGUUGUUCCGACUUGUAGGUGACCCGCAAUUUAUCGCACAAACUUCAAGUGAUCGUAGCACUUGAGCGUACUUAUUACACCUAGCCCUGUCAUACAGACAACAUUAGAUGGUUUCGACUCGUGUGCAGGCAUACUUGAUGAGUUAUAGGUUCAGCCAUACAGGCCACAAUAGGUGGAUCCGGCUGACAUAUCACUUUUCAUUGAUUUACUUCACCUGGUUUACUUAUUCAUUAUGUUGAGAUAUUUGACCUGGCAUACAUGUGGAUUUUGGUAUUUCGAGUAUGGUUUCGAUAUAUGUAAGUAUUUUAUUUUCUGGGAAAUUAUACGGGUUUUACGGCGAUGGGUUAUUACUUUUGGAAAGAGAUAUGGUUUUGAAAAGAUU
RNAcentral lists this long non-coding RNA (1062 nucleotides) under Malus domestica (apple). RNAcentral describes it as "long non-coding RNA (MDOM_LNC019472)". The record is from RNAcentral. Lineage: Eukaryota; Viridiplantae; Streptophyta; Magnoliopsida; Rosales; Rosaceae.